RNAcentral lists this long non-coding RNA (426 nucleotides) under Ursus americanus (American black bear). RNAcentral's name for it is "lncRNA (ENSUAMG00000004675.1)". Lineage: Eukaryota; Metazoa; Chordata; Mammalia; Carnivora; Ursidae. The record is from RNAcentral.
CGGGAUCUGAGCGCCUGCAGCCGCCAGAGCCUGAGCUGCCGGACUGAGGACCACCCCGCAGGUACAGAGCGGGCGGCGUGAACCCGGGGCCGCAGGGAGGGCUCCAGACCCAUCUUCCAGGGACUGUGCGGGGCGCUGAGCCUGGUGCUGGCGCGCGGCCGGGCACAGGUGCCUUGUGUAUGUAGCCGGUGGAAAGGAAGGCCUUGUUGAGAACCAGAAGAAUGAGGACAUCAGCAGAAUCAGAAUAGCGUUUCCAGUACCGGAUAUCUCAGACUUCUGCUUGGCGUGCUUCCUCCCAUCGUCCCUUUCCUGAGGUGCAGGGAGAGAGGCUUGGCUACUGAGGAACCAGAUAAAGCACAAAGGCUCCUGACACUUUUUGCACUCCAGCUGGCAGGUUUGAAGACCGGACUGGAGAAAACGGAAAAG